Molecule: transfer RNA, 72 nt
Filed under: Capra hircus (goat)
Lineage: Eukaryota; Metazoa; Chordata; Mammalia; Artiodactyla; Bovidae
Also listed under: 1 other name
Rfam family: tRNA
About the family: Transfer RNA (tRNA) molecules are approximately 80 nucleotides in length. Their secondary structure includes four short double-helical elements and three loops (D, anti-codon, and T loops).
Source: Rfam by way of RNAcentral
UCCCAGGUGGUCCAGUGGUUAGAACUCAGCACUUUCACUGCCAGGACUUGGGUUCAAUCCCUGGUCAGGGAA